RNAcentral lists this ribosomal RNA (376 nucleotides) under uncultured Alphaproteobacteria bacterium. RNAcentral describes it as "bacterial SSU rRNA". It matches the Rfam family "Bacterial small subunit ribosomal RNA", at positions 371 to 740 of the family's 1533-position model. The record is from RNAcentral. Lineage: Bacteria; Pseudomonadati; Pseudomonadota; Alphaproteobacteria.
AUGGGCGCAGCCUGAUCCAGCAAUGCCGCGUGCAGGAAGAAGGCCUUCGGGUUGUAAACUGCUUUUGUACGGAACGAAACGGUCUGGGUUAAUACCCUGGGCUAAUGACGGUACCGUAAGAAUAAGCACCGGCUAACUACGUGCCUGCAGCCGCGGUAAUACGUAGGGUGCAAGCGUUAAUCGGAAUUACUGGGCGUAAAGCGCACGUAGGCGGAUUAGAAAGUCAGAGGUGAAAUCCCAGGGCUCAACCUUGGAACUGCCUUUGAAACUCCUAGUCUUGAGGUCGAGAGAGGUGAGUGGAAUUCCGAGUGUAGAGGUGAAAUUCGUAGAUAUUCGGAGGAACACCAGUGGCGAAGGCGGCUCACUGGCUCGAUAC